RNAcentral lists this ribosomal RNA (770 nucleotides) under uncultured bacterium. RNAcentral's name for it is "bacterial SSU rRNA". It matches the Rfam family "Bacterial small subunit ribosomal RNA", at positions 38 to 805 of the family's 1533-position model. The record is from RNAcentral.
GGGGGCGUGCCUAACACAUGCAAGUCGAACGGAACUGUUUUGAAAGAUUUCUUCGGAAUGAAUUUGAUUUAGUUUAGUGGCGGACGGGUGAGUAACGCGUGAGUAACCUGCCUUCAAGAGGGGGAUAACAUUCUGAAAAGAAUGCUAAUACCGCAUGAUAUAUCGGAACCACAUGGUUUUGAUAUCAAAGAUUUUAUCGCUUGAAGAUGGACUCGCGUCCGAUUAGUUAGUUGGUGAGGUAACGGCUCACCAAGACCGCGAUCGGUAGCCGGACUGAGAGGUUGAACGGCCACAUUGGGACUGAGACACGGCCCAGACUCCUACGGGAGGCAGCAGUGGGGGAUAUUGCGCAAUGGGGGCAACCCUGACGCAGCAACGCCGCGUGAAGGAUGAAGGUUUUCGGAUUGUAAACUUCUUUUAUUAAGGACGAAAAAUGACGGUACUUAAUGAAUAAGCUCCGGCUAACUACGUGCCAGCAGCCGCGGUAAUACGUAGGGAGCAAGCGUUGUCCGGAUUUACUGGGUGUAAAGGGUGCGUAGGCGGCUUUGCAAGUCAGAUGUGAAAUCUAUGGGCUCAACCCAUAAACUGCAUUUGAAACUGUAGAGCUUGAGUGAAGUAGAGGCAGGCGGAAUUCCCCGUGUAACGGUGAAAUGCGUAGAGAUGGGGAGGAACACCAGUGGCGAAGGCGGCCUGCUGGGCUUUAACUGACGCUGAGGCACGAAAGCGUGGGUAGCAAACAGGGUUAGAUACCCUGGUAGUCCACGCUGUAA